This 233-nucleotide ribosomal RNA is filed under the name uncultured bacterium. RNAcentral describes it as "partial 16S ribosomal RNA". It matches the Rfam family "Bacterial small subunit ribosomal RNA", at positions 15 to 257 of the family's 1533-position model. The record is from RNAcentral.
GAUCCUUGCUCAGGAUGAACGCUGGCGGCGUGCCUAACACAUGCAAGUCGAGCGAUUCUCUUCGGAGAAGAGCGGCGGACGGGUGAGUAACGCGUGGGUAACCUGCCUCAUACACAUGGAUAACAUACCGAAAGGUAUGCUAAUACAAGAUAACAUAAGAGAUUCGCAUGGAUUUCUUAUCAAAGCUCCGGCGGUAUGAGAUGGACCCGCGUCUGAUUAGCUAGUUGGUAAGG